Molecule: ribosomal RNA, 804 nt
Filed under: Actinomycetes bacterium
Lineage: Bacteria; Bacillati; Actinomycetota; Actinomycetes
Description: bacterial SSU rRNA
Rfam family: Bacterial small subunit ribosomal RNA
Source: RNAcentral
AGCCCUUCGGGGUGGAUUAGUGGCGAACGGGUGAGUAACACGUGGGCAAUCUGCCCUUCACUCUGGGACAAGCCCUGGAAACGGGGUCUAAUACCGGAUAACACUCCCUCUCUCAUGGGUGGGGGUUAAAAGCUCCGGCGGUGAAGGAUGAGCCCGCGGCCUAUCAGCUUGUUGGUGAGGUAAUGGCUCACCAAGGCGACGACGGGUAGCCGGCCUGAGAGGGCGACCGGCCACACUGGGACUGAGACACGGCCCAGACUCCUACGGGAGGCAGCAGUGGGGAAUAUUGCACAAUGGGCGAAAGCCUGAUGCAGCGACGCCGCGUGAGGGAUGACGGCCUUCGGGUUGUAAACCUCUUUCAGCAGGGAAGAAGCGAAAGUGACGGUACCUGCAGAAGAAGCGCCGGCUAACUACGUGCCAGCAGCCGCGGUAAUACGUAGGGCGCAAGCGUUGUCCGGAAUUAUUGGGCGUAAAGAGCUCGUAGGCGGCUUGUCACGUCGGGUGUGAAAGCCCGGGGCUUAACCCCGGGUCUGCAUUCGAUACGGGCUAGCUAGAGUGUGGUAGGGGAGAUCGGAAUUCCUGGUGUAGCGGUGAAAUGCGCAGAUAUCAGGAGGAACACCGGUGGCGAAGGCGGAUCUCUGGGCCAUUACUGACGCUGAGGAGCGAAAGCGUGGGGAGCGAACAGGAUUAGAUACCCUGGUAGUCCACGCCGUAAACGGUGGGAACUAGGUGUUGGCGACAUUCCACGUCGUCGGUGCCGCAGCUAACGCAUUAAGUUCCCCGCCUGGGGAGUACGGCCGCAAG